ACAGCAGUAGCCGCGGUAAUACGUAGGGUGCAAGCGUUAAUCGGAAUUACUGGGCGUAAAGCGUGCGCAGGCGGUUCGGAAAGAAAGAUGUGAAAUCCCAGGGCUCAACCUUGGAACUGCAUUUUUAACUACCGGACUAGAGUAUGUCAGAGGGAGGUGGAAUUCCACGUGUAGCAGUGAAAUGCGUAGAUAUGUGGAGGAACACCGAUGGCGAAGGCAGCCUCCUGGGAUAAUACUGACGCUCAUGCACGAAAGCGUGGGGAGCAAACAGGAUUAGAUACCCGGGUAGUCCCUGUCUCUUAUAC
RNAcentral lists this ribosomal RNA (305 nucleotides) under uncultured bacterium. RNAcentral's name for it is "partial 16S ribosomal RNA". It matches the Rfam family "Bacterial small subunit ribosomal RNA", at positions 506 to 807 of the family's 1533-position model. The record is from RNAcentral.